CCUACGGGUGGCAGCAGUGGGGAAUAUUGGACAAUGGGGGCAACCCUGAUCCGGCCAUGCCGCGUGUGUGAAGAAGGCCCUCGGGUUGUAAAGCACUUUCAGUGAGGAAGAACGCCUGGUGGUUAAUACCCAUCAGGAAAGACAUCACUCACAGAAGAAGCACCGGCUAACUCCGUGCCAGCAGCCGCGGUAAUACGGAGGGUGCGAGCGUUAAUCGGAAUUACUGGGCGUAAAGCGCGCGUAGGUGGCUUGAUAAGCCGGUUGUGAAAGCCCCGGGCUCAACCUGGGAACGGCAUCCGGAACUGUCAAGCUAGAGUGCAGGAGAGGAAGGUAGAAUUCCCGGUGUAGCGGUGAAAUGCGUAGAGAUCGGGAGGAAUACCAGUGGCGAAGGCGGCCUUCUGGACUGACACUGACACUGAGGUGCGAAAGCGUGGGUAGCAAACAGGAUUAGAUACCCUAGUAGUC
Molecule: ribosomal RNA, 465 nt
Filed under: Vreelandella stevensii
Lineage: Bacteria; Pseudomonadati; Pseudomonadota; Gammaproteobacteria; Oceanospirillales; Halomonadaceae
Description: partial 16S ribosomal RNA
Rfam family: Bacterial small subunit ribosomal RNA
Source: RNAcentral